AGGCACCUGGGAGGGGGACAUGGGGCGCUGUGUCCUGGAUGUGUGCUUACCACUCGUGGGCAGUGCCGGGCCUACACCCAGUGUGGCAGUGGGAGUCUCCGAGCAGAGGUGGCUGGAGGACACACGGCAGCCCCCGCCAAAGUGUGAGCACAGGUGUGCACAGAGCAGCUCUGCCUGCAGCAUCCCAAAGGGGGGAACAUCUUGAGUGUCCCUCAGUGGGUGGACAGACACACAGUGUGGUCUGUCCCACGGGGGCCACGAGUCAGCCAUCAGGAGGAAGGGAGGACACAGUUCUUUCCGGGCUGAGCCUGCCAGCUCGUCCUGAGGUGCCCUGGCCUUGGAGAUGUCUUCCUCUGUGACGGGAAGAUUCUAGAAUUGCCUGUGGUGACCCUGUGCUGCACGACCCUGACUUGCGUGAAUGAGAUGUCUCUUCAGAGGGAUAUAGAAGCCAGUACACAAACGAAGAGAUAGGACAGCAGGGGCCUGACAGAGAUGGGGAAGGUCCCCUCAGCAGCCCCGGGAGCCACAGCUGGUAUGAGGGGGAUGCCUACCGG
Erinaceus europaeus (western European hedgehog) is the source of this 554-nucleotide long non-coding RNA. RefSeq lists it as uncharacterized. The record is from RefSeq and is a predicted model, not a curated record. The transcript is spliced from 3 exons. Lineage: Eukaryota; Metazoa; Chordata; Mammalia; Eulipotyphla; Erinaceidae.